CCGGACCGGCGCACGGGUGAGUAACGCGUAUGCAACUUACCUAUCAGAGGGGGAUAACCCGGCGAAAGUCGGACUAAUACCGCAUGAAGCAGGGGCCCCGCAUGGGGAUAUUUGCUAAAGAUCCAUCGCUGAUAGAUAGGCAUGCGUUCCAUUAGGCAGUUGGCGGGGUAACGGCCCACCAAACCGACGAUGGAUAGGGGUUCUGAGAGGAAGGUCCCCCACAUUGGUACUGAGACACGGACCAA
This 245-nucleotide ribosomal RNA is filed under the name uncultured bacterium. Its description in RNAcentral is "partial 16S ribosomal RNA". It matches the Rfam family "Bacterial small subunit ribosomal RNA", at positions 90 to 334 of the family's 1533-position model. The record is from RNAcentral.